Pelobates cultripes (western spadefoot toad) is the source of this 692-nucleotide non-coding RNA. The record is from the annotation of a GenBank genome assembly. Lineage: Eukaryota; Metazoa; Chordata; Amphibia; Anura; Pelobatidae.
CAAAAAUGCCAGGAAAGCAUAUUGUGCAGUGUGUGUGAGGGUGUUGUGUGUGUAUGUGAGGGGUGCAGUGUGUGUGAGGUGUGUAGUGUGUUAGUGAUGGGUGCUGUGUUUGCGUGAGGGUGCUAUGUGGGUAAGGGUGCUGUGUGUGUGUUCUGUGUGUGAUUGGGUGCUGUGUUUGCGUGAGGGUGCCAUGUGCGUUUGAGGAAGCUGUGUGUGUCAGUGGUGCAGUGUGUGUGUGUGUGUUGGUGUUGUAAGUGUUAAGGGUGCAGUGAGUGUGUGCUGUGCGUGUCAGAGGUGCAGUGAGUGUGUGCUGUGCGUGUCAGGGGUGCAGUGAGUGUGUGUGUGUGUGUGUGAGGGUGCUGUAAGUGUUAGGGGUGCAGUGUGUGUGUGCUGUAAGUGUCAGGGGUGCAGUGUGUGUGUGUGUGUGAGGGUGCUGUAAGUGUUAGGGGUGCAGUGUGUGUCUGCUGUGAGUGUCAGGGGUGCAGUGUGUGUGUGUGAGUGAGGGUGCUGUGAGUGUCAGGGGUGCAGUGUGUGUGUGUGCUGUGAGUGUCAGGGGUGCAGUGUGUGUGAGUGUGUGUGAGGGUGCUGUAAGUGUUAGGGGUGCAGUGUGUGUGUGCUGUGAGCGUCAGGGGUGCAGUUUAUGUGAGUGUGUGAAGGUGCUGUAAGUGUUAGGGGUGCAGUGUGUGUGUAUG